RNAcentral lists this ribosomal RNA (467 nucleotides) under uncultured bacterium. RNAcentral describes it as "bacterial SSU rRNA". It matches the Rfam family "Bacterial small subunit ribosomal RNA", at positions 355 to 825 of the family's 1533-position model. The record is from RNAcentral.
UGGGGAAUAUUGGACAAUGGGGGCAACCCUGAUCCAGCAAUGCCGCGUGCAGGAAGAAGGCCCUAUGGGUCGUAAACUGCUUUUGAACAAGAGAAAACCCCGGUACGUGUACUGGGUUGAUAGUAUUGUUAGAAUAAGCAUCGGCUAACUUCGUGCCAGCAGCCGCGGUAAGACGAAGGAUGCAAGCGUUAUCCGGAUUCAUUGGGUUUAAAGGGUGCGUAGGCGGACUGAUAAGUCAGUGGUGAAAUCUCUCGGCUUAACCGAGAAACUGCCAUUGAUACUGUUAGUCUAGAGUACAGAUGAUGUGGGCGGAAUAUGACAUGUAGUGGUGAAAUACUUAGAUAUGUCAUAGAACACUGAUUGCGAAGGCAGCUCACAGAACUGUAACUGACGCUGAGGCACGAAAGUGCGGGGAUCAAACAGGAUUAGAUACCCAAGUAGUCCCUGAGCGGGCUGGCAAGGCGCAU